UCAAAUACAAAAUGUGGAGAGCCCAGUGA
Molecule: non-coding RNA, 29 nt
Filed under: Mus musculus (house mouse)
Lineage: Eukaryota; Metazoa; Chordata; Mammalia; Rodentia; Muridae
Source: RNAcentral